Molecule: long non-coding RNA, 19418 nt
Filed under: Solanum tuberosum (potato)
Lineage: Eukaryota; Viridiplantae; Streptophyta; Magnoliopsida; Solanales; Solanaceae
Description: long non-coding RNA (STUB_LNC007740)
Source: RNAcentral
GCAUACCUGUUCAAUAAUGUGUGAGUGGCCUCUAAUUAUUCUCAACAUCAGAUUGAUAGUAUACAUUGCUAUUUCAUGAAUCAGUACUUUUGUUUUACAAGUGAUUUAAUUUGUCAGUAAACCUGCAUCCAUUCAUGAGUAACAACUGGUGCUUUCUUUUUGGGGCUUGUACGUUACUGUAUCUGUUGUCGGGAGAAUGUGUUGUUUAAUAUGUUUGGCGCAUCAUUCGGACGCAGUGGAUAGGUGUUUCUCUUAAUUGGUAAAGUGUCAUGUUACCAUUGAUAACCUGUUGCGUCUAUUUUCAGUGAGUUUUAGGCGAUACCGUCAUUUUUAUUCAACAGACUGUCAUUUGAGACCAAGUAGUUGUGAAAUGUAUGAUAUUCCCUGUUUGGACAUAUAGGAACUUCUCGCAUUUAAUUUGAUUCAAAAUGCUUUGUCAUGCUUUCUAUAGUAUUUUGCCAUGAUUUCUUUACUUCCAUUAAUUCUUUUUCAAUCUGCUUUGAUAUGUUUUUUCCUUGAGCCGAGGGUCGAUAGGAAACAACCUCUCUACCUCCCAAGGUAGGCGUAUUGUUUGGGUACACUACCCUCCCCAAACCCCGCUUGUGGGAUUACACUGGCUAUGUAGUUGUUGUUGUUGGUUGCAAGUUCCAAUGGCUCGCUCAUCAUCAGCAUCAGCUAGUUAUUUUGUGCAUUUGAGCAUGACUAUUUGACUUAGGCCACAUUUGGAUAUAGGGUUUGCUCAGUUGCCCAAUGUAUGUACUGUACAUACAUACGUAUGUAUGCUUGCGUUCUUCUUGCCAUCUACUUUCAAGACUUCGGUUUCCCUGGAUUAGCCUGGCUGUCCAGAUGGUAUGUUGUCAUCAGCAACUAUAAUUCAAGUUUCAUAGUUUCAUUAAUGAGAUAUCAACCUAGCAAGUUAAAAAUGGAAGACAAUGCUGCAUGCUGGAUGGAAUCUGUACUUCUAUUGUAGACUCAGUUUUCUGAGCGGCUGUAGUUGGUAGAAGACCAAUUUGCUUUUUUAAAGACGUUGCUAUGUUUAAAGCUUAUUUCUGACAGGAAGGUAAGCUGAAUCGUCUUACAGAGGAAGUUGGUUAUUUAAUUCGGGGUUGAACGAAUUAGUUUAUGUCAUGGUUGGGAAGUGGUGAUCUCUUACCAGGGGCACAGUUUAUUUUGUGAACUUCAAAUUCUCAAAUUUCACAUUAAAAAAAACAUAUAGUUCAGUGGUCUUCUUUACUUGGCUUUCUUGAUUUUGCAAGAGAUGCGUGUUGUUAGCUCCAUUUUCGGUUCUUUUAUCCUUUCCCGGCCUGAUCAUACUAUGUUUCUUUUCCAAUUCAUAUGAUGGAAUUUUUCACCUUUCUUUCUCUGUGUUAUUCAGGGUAAAUGUAACUUUUGGACAGAGCGAGGAGAGGACAAUGCUUUCUGGAACGCACACUGUGACAGAUAUAUUUUGUUGUUGCUGUGGGCAGAUUCUUGGCUGGAAAUAUGUAAUCCCUCUUAUUCCUUCUUCUUUGUCCAUAGGCACCAACACGUAGAGCCAAAACGUACAACCAUGGGAACACACACAAAAAGUUCCUUCUAUUAUCUUUUGAGGGAUAUGAAUCGGUGUAUAUAAGCUAAAUUCUCACGGUAUAUGUAACACGCGUAGUUCUAUUAAUGACUAAUAUUUGUGUCUCAUUCACACAGGAGAAAGCCCAUGAGAAAAGCCAGAAGUACAAAGAAGGGAAAUUUGUCCUUGAAAGGUUUAUUACCCUCUCCCCCUUUUAUCUUUUUAUAGUAAAACAAAAGUUGCGUUAAUUCGCAUUAACAUUUUAUCGUAAAAAACAAUAUGCUCGUUUUAAGUGUUUGUAACAUAACAUUUCUAUGCUGUUGAUAAUAUGUGUGGAACAGAGGCAUGAUCAUUGAUGGCGAAGUUGAUUCUGAAUUCUACAUCGAUACUCGUGCAAGCACAAGUGAUGGUGAAGAUACAAUGUAAAUAGUGGGAGCUUAGUGCACCGAUUUGCAGAUACUUGUAUCUUGUAGACUUGGCAAAAGAAUAGUUGUAUCUUAUCUGGAGAUCUCCUCAAGUUUGUGGAUAUAGAAACUAAGUUGCUGCAGAAGUGUUUUUUAUUUAAUAUGGUUGACUAAAGUAAAUGUUUUAUUGGUCUUACAUGUUUUUUGUGCUUCCUUCAUUAUAUUAGUCUGCUCAGCAUGGUUUGUUAUGUUUAUUUAGGUAUGUGCUUGCUUACGCUUUAAGAAAAAAACUAAGUAUGUAUAUUCUCAAAUAGGGAUCAAAUUCCACCCGAUGAUCGAGUUUGGUGUGGCGAGUGUAGUAUCUCAAAAAGGAUGUAAGCUAAAUAUAUAAUUUCACCCAAUCACUCGAUUGAGUUUGGUGCAGGGAGUGUGGUAUCUAAAAGGAAGGCCGUAAACUAAUAUAUAGAUUUACAUAGGGAUCAAAUUCCAUCCGAUCACUCGAUUGAGGUUGGUAUAGCGAGUGUGGAAUCUAAAAAGGAUGCUACUUGGUCUUUCCUUGCGAUUAAAUUCAUUGAAUAGACUUGACCCGAUCACUCGAUUGAGGUUGGUAUAGCGACUGUAGAAUCUAAAAAGGAUGCUACUUGGUCUUUCCUUGCGAUUAAAUUCAUUGAAUAGACUUGACCCGAUCACUCGAUUGAGGUUGGUAUAGCGACUGUAGAAUCUAAAAAGGAUGCUACUUGGUCUUUUCUUUCGAUCAAAUUCAUUGAAUAGACUUGCUUAACGUUCAUAGUUUAUAUCUCUAUGACUCUAUAUGAUUUGCAAUUUGCGAUAUAUAUAAGAGUUCUAUUUUAAAAUGGACGUAAAUUAUUAGUUUCAUUUCCUAACUAUUGACAAUUUUAAAAACACAAUCUAAUUGACAAACUAAAUGUAGAUACACCCUUAAUAUACAACAUGACAUAUCAAAUGGUCUCAAACUCUUGUGCAAACAUGAGACUCUUAAUAAAAAAAAUUGAGAGAAGUGUUAAAAACAUUCUAAACUUGACGAGAAUUUAAGAGUGUAUUUCACUCAUGUGUUGAUUAACUGAAGUAAAGGAUAUCUUUCAAAGUCUAUCACAAGCAUGAAAGUCUUAACAAAAGAACCAAGAGAAGUUGAAAACAUAACUUGGCAAUUUUUUUUUGAAGGUUGUGAAUAGUUCUGAAACAAAUAAGCACAGUUUGCUAAGAUAAUGGAUACUAUAUAUCUACUAUGGGGUUGAGUGUGUUGGGCACCAUCCAGAUCCUUUCACCAAACCAAACGAACCUCCUUUCCUUCUUCCAAAUCCGAAUUUACAAUAUGCAGAUUUUCCAAUAUUGAUUGCAAUUAGCGAUUCGUUUAUCUGCGGUUUGCUUUUUGCUAUUCCAAUUUUGUUAACGAAGAAGAAGAAGAAGAAGUAAAUCCGAACACAAUGGGAGAACGCAAGUCUUCAUCUAAGAAAAAAUCUUCCAGAAAGAAGAGGCUCAAAGUUUCCUCUAAAGGUAUCUUUUUCAACUCUCCUUUUCGAUGCUUUCCAUUUAUUCGCAUAAUAACAUUCGUUCGCUUGCUCAGUAUAAUGUAUAAUGUUCCUGUAUGGUGUGUUGCUUUCUUUCUAUUUCGUUUUGAAUUAUUGUGUGUAGUUAUGUAUUUUAGGGUUUAUCUUCAUCUUAAACUAAAGUUAUUGAACUUUGUUUUGUAUCAAAUAAAAUCACUCAACUUAAGGUUUUUAUUUCUAAUCUCCUUUAAUUUGCUUUUUAAGGGCUUAUGUUUUUUCUGUUUACUGAAUUAAUUUUUGUGAUGUUAUGGAAUAUUUGUUAAUGUCCUUUUGUAGUGAUGCUAAUAGUUCCCUUUUUACUGGUGGUGGAAAUAGGGAAGAUAGUUAAAACUAAUGGUUAGUUAUCUGCUAUGUUCCAAAAAUGUUAGUUACACCCGUGUUGGAUCCUCCUAAAAUGCACUACUUUUGGAGGAUAGAACACAUACCCGGCGACAUUUUUGAAGAGUCCGAACAACAUAAGUUAUAUGUACCCUCUGUUGAACAUAAGUCCAAGCAACAUAUGUAAUUAGCUGGUUUAACUUUUGGGUCUUUUCAUGUGUGCCAUCAGGGGAUGUUAUUUUGGGGAUAAAAAUUAAGAUAGCCGUUCUAUUAGCUAAAAAUUAAAAUGAAACUAUGUUCCAAGAACAAGGGUCAAAAAGUAAUUCAGAAGGCUGGUUAUUUUGGGUACAAUACUUGUAUGAGUUGACAUUACUGAACUGGGAGAAUAUAAGUCCUACUCCUUCCAGUUUGUUUAGAAGGGAUUAUUUUCAUGUAAAUAUUCAUAUACAAAUCUGUAACAUGAUAAGGCUUCAUGUGAUAUAGCUCAUGAUCGCUCGUGGGAGUGUUAAGCACGUUGCAUAGUCAUUUGAAUCGCUAUAGUUAGAGUUCCAUGAAUCAUUUAUUGUUCUUUGUAUUUUUUUUGUUUUCUGCUCUAUCCGUAAAAUAACCUUAGUGGAGCAAAUCUAGAGUUAUUUAUCAAAAGAAACAAUUAUCUGCACCUGUUAAUACUUGGUAUCUUUUAGAAGCCACCAUGGAAAAACAGAUAUCUAAGAUCUUGUAUUAAAUAUAUUCUUUUUUGUUUCAAUUUGUAAUUCCUUAACUGACACUCAGAAGAAAGAAUUAUGAAAGACUUUAUAAUGCUUGAUCAUGCCAGCACACUUUGUACACUCUUUAUUGAAUAUAUUUAAUACCCAAAUAUUCAUGGAGAUGUUUUCAUGAGAAAUUGCAUUAUAUUUUUAAUUAACAUUAGGCAUGCUUUCGUAGAACAAUGUAAGGUUACCUCCUGUUUUCUUAUCAAUACAUUCUCAUCUUGUCACUGGCAAUUCCAAUUUAUCAUCCUUCAUUAUACAUCUUCAUGUGUUGUGUGGUUAGAUACGCAAGAUAAAAAGCAGAAGAAACAAAUCCAAGAAGUUUUCCAGUUCCGAGGAUGACUCGUCAUCUUCUGCUUCCUCUGAUUAUUCUAGCAGUCCACAGUCUUUGUCCUCUGAUUCAGAGGUUGAUUAUAGUAUGAAAAAACAUAGGCACUCACGUGAUAUGAAACGCGUGAAGAAAAGAACUUGGAGAAGAUAUUCAAGCCGAGAUGUCAGUGAUAGUUCACCCCCUGUAAAGAAAAGAAAACGGUCAAAUAGAAAGAGUCUUGAUUAUGGGAGAAAAGUGCAGAAGAAGCGAAAGAGACACGCUAGUAUUAGCUCCACGAACAGUGACUCAAGAAGUUGUUCUAGUUGCCGACGUUAAAAUAGUAUUAGCUCCAGAGGUAGAGAUUCUAAGAGCUUUUCCACUUGCCAAGAUGCAACUAAUAGUGGUAAAUAGGAAGCGAUAACAAAAUUGAGUUUAAUUAAAAUACAUUUGCAUAUACUACUUAAGGUUCCAAAUAUUUAUAGUUUUAACAAAUUAAUCUUGUCUUAAAAUACCUGACAUCUGAAGAUUUUUUUUUAUUAUAUCUAGGUUUUAAAUUUUCUAAUUUAAUUAGUAAGUAUUAUUACUGAUUAAAGAGUAAAUAAAUAAAAAGUAAUAUAAACAAGUAUACUUAUGAUUAAAAAUAUUACUAUAAAUACUUUUGCAAAGCGAUGUCCAAAUAAAAUAGGCAUAAUAUAUAAAUAUAUCUUUUAAUUUGUCUUCCAUACUAAGACGAAUGUAUCUAUUUGUUUAAUUUAUAUAAGUUUAAGAGUCUAUUUGUACAUAUUUAAAAUUGAAGGGCAUAACUAUUUGCUUAAGCUAAAUUAAAAGCACGUUUAUGUAUUAUGCAAUAAAAUAUUGAUAGCUCGUUUUUAUACAUUUAAACAGCACUAAAAGAUAGGAUUAAGUGACUUUGAAGUUAACAAAACAAAAUCUGCGCCACAUGUAAUAAUAAGUCGUUUUCUACUUUGUUGUUUCUGGAAUUUCUUAAGACCCCUCAAUAAACCUUGUUCUUUUCAUCUUUUCUUUAAGAAGGGUUUCAGUUUUGGGAAAUUGGGGCUGAGCUGCAGUUUGUGUGAAGUGAAAAAUGGGGAGAGUAUUUUUGGUGGAUCUUGAAGGCAAAACCUACAAUUGCAAAUUCUGCAAAACCCAACUUGCCCGUGCUGAUCAACUUAUUUCCAAGGUACAAUUUUUUCCCCUUAUUUUUAUUUUUUAUUCUUUGGUUGAAUGACUAGAUCUAGCUAUGUAAAAUCCUGAUCUUUCAUUUGACAUGGUUAUAUAUCACUUCUCGGUACAAGUAAAAAUCUCACCUUUUUUAUAGGUAGUAAAUAAGUAAUUUUUGUGUUGUUUAGUGCAAAUGCAAUGCACUUGUUAAUUCAGAAGUUUCAAAUUUUACGAAUUCGUCAAUCCUCAUCAUGAAUUUGAAUUGACCAUUAGGAAAAUGGUUUAUUGAGUUAGGGAUGGAAGAGUGUGCAGAUUUUAUUUGUCUCUAAAAAAAUGUUGUUGAUAAGAUCCAGAAAUGAUUGACUACUUCACGAGAGAUAGCAGUGACGUGUGAAGACGUUUGGAAGCUCUCAAGCAUGUUGGAUCAUGUCGAUUUUAUGUAUAUUCAUAGAUGUUUGAACAAAAUAGUUCAUAGUUUAGCUAGAUUUUCUAUUUCUUUGUUGAAGGAGAUCUCUUGGGAGAGGUUUUUCCCAAGUUGGAUCGUGCAUGAUGCUAAGGGUACAUUUGAAUUUCGUAGUUUUUGAUGCAAUAAUACAAAUUGUUUAGUUUCGGUGAAAAAGUUCAUGAAUCUGACAAGUUUUAUGUUGGUUGCCAAGCAUACAUUAACCCUCCUCUUUGUUUAAGCGUGGGACUCAUUAAACACGUUCUUUUAAAUAAGAACUCAAUUGUAGAUUCUUCUUCGUUGCGUGUGCUAAAAGCAAAGUUGCAUUUGGGAUUUGGAGGUUUGUGGUGCAACAUUGCUUUGAACAUAGACAUCUUGCUAUUUAAACAGGGAAGGUUGUCUUCUCUUUUAGAGGAAAGAAAAGAUUUUGGGGAUAGAAAGAAGGCAACAAAAAUAAUUUAAAAAAUCAAACAAGGUUAAAUUAAACAAUAAAGUCUAAAAGAAUCACUACUAGGAAAAAAGAGGAGAAUAGGUGAAAUGCCUAACUCCUUAAUUGCCCAGUGAAGCAAACAAAAUAGUUAAAGUACUGUAGAGGGCUGGAAUCGAACUCACGCAACCUAGAAGGAAUGUCCGGAGUUUUGCCAGUGGCAUCAUGUAUUAUUUUAUUCAAUGAGUGGCACUUUGGCACCCCCUCGGCCCUUAGUAGAUCCUCCCCUGGUUAAAAGCAACUCCUUUUUUCACUCGUAAGUAAAAUAUAUGCAUAAGAAUUGUCUAGCACCAUUAGGUGAUGUAAGUUGGAAUUCUUGAAGCAAGUAAAAUUAAUUGGAACUGAAGAAGUUUCUUUUAUCUCAUUGUGUAUGAACUGUCAGUUUACUUUCUUUGUCGUGGUAUAUUGCAUGAGAAAAUUGUGUUUCGUCUUUGCUGCAUAAAUUGCAUUUCAUUUUGCAAUGGUUAACUAUGUCUGACAAAAUCUCCUUUAUGCUAUUUAUUCAGGCUUUUCAUUGCAGCAGUGGAAGAGCAUACCUGUUCAAUAAAGUGUGAGUGGCCUCUAACGUCAUAUUGAUAGUAUACAUUGCUAUUUCAUGAAUCUGGAUUUUUGUUUUACAAGUGAUUUAAUUUGUUGAUAAACCUGCAUCCAUUCGUGAGUGACAACUGGUGCUUUCUUUUUGGGGGUUGUACGAUACUGUAUCUGUUGUCGGGAGAAAGUGCUGUUUAAUAUGUUUGGCACAUCAUUCGGACGCAGUUGAUAGGCGUUUCUCCUAAUUGGUUAAGUGUUACAUCACCAUUAACAACCUGUUGCGUCUAUUUUCAGUGAAUUAUAGGCAAUACGGUCAUUUUUAUUCAACAGAAUGCCAUUUGUGACCAAGUAUUUGUGGAAUGAAUGAUAUUGCCUGUCCGGACAUUUUUUUUUUGAAAUGGUAGAGGUUUUAUUAAUAAUAGUACCAAGAUGGUACAAAAAGUACAAGCCACCAAAAAGACAAGUAGCAACCCUUCUUUGUUCUUAUUAUUAUUCCUUUAAAUUUCGGGGGGUGGGGGGGUUAUAGAUAUAAAUGGCUAUUGCAAAGAAAUGCACUUGAGGGCUGAGGCAUGUAGGAACUUCUCACAUUUGAUUCAAAAUACUUUGUCAUGCUUUCUAUAGUAUUUUGCCAUGAUUUCUUUUCUUCCGUUAUUUCUUUUUCAAUCUUCUUUGAUAUGUUUAUCCUUGAGCCGAGGGUCUAUAGGAAACAACCUCUCUACCUCCAAAGGUAGGCGUAUGGUUUGGGCACACUCUACCCUCCCCAGACCCCGCCUAUUGGAUUACAUUGGGUAAGUAGUUGUUGUUAAUUGCAAGUUCCAAUGGCUUGCUCAACAUCAGCAUCAGCUAGAUAUUAUGUGCAUUUGAGCAUAACUGUUUGACUUAGGCCACAUUUGGAUAUAGAGUUUGCUCAAUUGUCCGAGGUACGUGUACGUACAUACAUAUGUAUGUAUGCUUGAAUUCUUCUUGCCCAUCUACUUUCAAGAUUUUGGUUUCCCUGGAUUAGCCUGGCUGCCCAGAUUGUAUGUUGUCAUCAGUAACUAUAAUUCAAAUUUUCAUAGUUUCAUUAGUGAGUUAUCGACCUAGCAAGUCAAAACAGAAGACAAUGCUGCAGGCUGGAUGGAAUCUGUACUUUUGCAUGGUUGCUUGGUGUAGACUGGAGUUUUCUGAGCGGCUGUAGUUGGUAGAAGACCACUUUCCUUUUUUAAAGAUGUUGCUAUGUUUAAAGCUUAUUUUCUGACAGGAAGCUAUGCUGAAUCAUCUUACUGCGGAAGCUUGUUUUUUAAUUAGGGGUUGAAUGGAUUAGUUUAUGUCAUGGUUGUUAAGUGGUGAUCUCUUACCAGGAGCACAAUCUAGUUCAGUGGUCUUCUUUACUUGGCUUUCUUGAUUUGUGCAAGAGAUGUGUGUUUUUAGCUCCAUUUUCUGUUCUUUUAUCCUUCCUCGGCCUGAUCAGAUUAUGUUUCUUUUCCAAUUCAUUAGAUGGAAUUUUUCACCUUUCUUUCUUUGUGUUAUUUAGGGUAAAUAUAUAUUUUGGACAGACCGAGGAGAGGACGUUGCUUUCUGGAACGCACACUGUGACGGAUAUAUUUUGUCGUCGCUGUGGGCAGAUUCUUGGCUGGAAAUAUGUAAUUCCUCUCAUCCCCUCUUCUUUUUCCAUACGCACCAACACGUAGAGCCAAAAAAUACAACUAUGGGAACACACACACACACACAAAAAGUUCCUUUUAUUGUCUUUUGGGGGAUAUGAAUCGGUGUAUAUAAGUUAAACUAACACAGUAUAUGUAACAUGCGUAGUUCUAUUAACGACUAAUAUUUGUGUCUCGUUUACACAGGAGAAAUCCCAUGAGGAAAGCCAGAAGUACAAAGAAGGGAAAUUUGUCCUUGAAAGGUUUUAUUUCUCUCUCCCCCUCUUUAUCUUUUUAUAGUAAAAAAAAAAUUCGCAUUACAUUUUAUCGGAAAACAACAAUAUGCUCAUUUUAAGUGUUCCUAAUAUAACAUUUCUAUGUUGAUAAUGUGUGUUGAACAGAGUCAGGAUCAUUGAUGAUGAAGAUGAUUCUGAAUUCUACAUUGAUACUCGUUCAAGCACAAGUGAUGAUGAAGAUACAAUGUAAAUAGUGGGAGCUUAGUGCACCGAUUUGCAGAUACUUGUAUCUUGUAGACUUAGCAAAAGAAUAGUUGUAUCUUGUCUGAAAAUCUCUCUCAAGUUUGUGGAUGUAGAAACUAAGUUGCUGCCGAAGUGUUUUUUAAUCAAUAUAUGCUCGACUUAAGUUAAUGCUUUAGUGGUCUUGCAUGUUUUUUGUGCUUCAUUAUAUUAUUCUGCUCAGCAUGGUUUGUUAUGCUUUCUCUAUUAUUUGUGAUGGUUUAUUUAGGAAUGUAAUUGCUUAUGCUUUAAGAAAAAAAAUCAAAUAUAUAUAUUCAAAUAGGGAUCAAAUCUCACCCAAUCACUCGAUUGAGUUUGGUGUAGCAAGUGUCGUAUCUCAAGAAGGAUGUAAACUAUAUAUACUAGCUUCACGGCAUGUGCGGUGUACGUGUGUAGUGUAUCAUAUCAUAUACUGUAUAUUGUAAAAUAGAAUUAAUAUUACUAAAUUAAAGCUUUUUAGGAAAUAAUUAUAAUUUAAAGAAUAUAGGACAAGUGAUUAUAAAUGAUUAAUACUAUCAUAGAGUUAUUUAUUGUUUAGAUCAAAAUGACAAGAUAUCAUUGAAACUUUUCAAAAUACAUUCAAAGUUUAAAUUUUGGUUUAGUAAAUACUCCCUCCGUCCCAUUUUAUAUGUCAUCACUUUUUAGAAAUAGUUGGUUCAUAAUACUUGUCAUUUCAUAAAAUUAAUGCAUAAAUUACCAUAUUGUUCCUUUUUAACCCUUGUGAGUUAAUUAGCCUUGAAAAUAUACAUUUGACCAACUUAGAAAAGCUAAGUAAAUGAUUCAUGUUCAAUAGUUAAAUUAAUUAAUCAAAAUAAAUUAAUUUAUAUUCAUUGAUUGAAAACAUGAGUUCCAAAAAAAAUUAAAUAAGAGUAGAAGGAUAAAGUUACAUUAUUUCUUAAUGCAAGUGCAAAGUAAAAAUGUAACAUAUAAAAUGAGACUCAAGAAAUACAUAUAUAAGCAUUGACACCUCUUCACACAAGUUAAAUAUGUAUUUUUCCACUUUCAAUACAUUAGUUUAUUUAAUUGUAUUUGAUAUGGACCCCAUAAUUUUCUUUCAAUUUUCAAUUAAACUAUACCCUCUCUCUCCUCUCUGGUUUUAAUUGCAAUUUUAAAGGACAAUCUAUACCCCCACAAUCCACAUGUCAACUUGUUAAUAGAUCCUCACACAAAUUUUAUUGGUGGUAUCUUGCUCAAAAUAAAUUUUUCAACAUGAGACUCUUUAUAAAAGAAUUUAUACAACAUAAAAUAUGAUCUCAAUUUUUUGUGGCGAGCAUAAGACCCUUUAUAAAAGAACAGAGAAGUGUUGAAAAACACUCUAAAUUUGGUGAAAAUUUAGAAUUAAUCUCACUCAUGUUACAAGACUGGAGAGCGUAUUUACAUGUAUUACUAAAGUAAAGAUAUUUUUAAGGUUGUUGAAACAAUAUGAUCGAGUUUAGGGGGUAUUGAGAAGUAAUAAGUACAUACAUAUUACGGUAAAAUACAAGUUAGAGAUAAGCAAGCAGGUGCAGCUUGCUAUGAUAAUGGAUACAAUAUAUCUAUGGGUUUGAGUGUGUUGCCGGAUCCGAAUUCACAAUUAUCGAUUCGUUCAUCUGCGGUUUGCUUUUCGCUAUUCCAAUUUUGUUUACAAAGAAGAAGAAGAAAUGAAUCCGAACACAAUGGGAGAACGGAAGUCUUCAUCUAAGAAAACAUCUUCCAAAAAGAAGAGGCUCAAAGUUUCCUCUAAGGUAUCUUUUUUAGCUCUCCAUUUCGAUGUUUUCCAUUCAUUUACCUAAUAACAUUCGUUUCGCUUUCUCAGUAUUAUGUAUAAUGUUCCUGUAUGCUGUGUUGAUCUCUUUCUAUUUCGUUAUGAAUUUCUGUGUAUAGUUAUGUAUUUUAGGGUUUAUGUAGAAUUUAUUGAACUUUGUUUUGUAUCAAAUAAAAUCACGGUUUUUAUUUUCAAUAAUCUUAAAAGGUUAUUGAAUUAUGAGAAUUCUCCUUUAAUUUGAUUUUUAAGGGCUUUAUGUUUUUUCCUGUUUACUGAAUUAAUUUUUGUCAUGUUAUGGAAUAUUUGUAAAUGUUUUCCUUUUGUAGUGAUGCUAAUAGUUCCCUUUCUACUGGUGGUGGAAAUAUGGAAGAGAAUUAAAAAUAAUGGUUAGUAAUCUGCUAUGUUGCUCGGACUCUCCAAAAAUGUUGUUGAAUCUGUGUUGGAUCUUCCCAUAAUGCACUACUUUUGGGGGAUACGACACACACGACAACAUUUUUAAGGAGUCUGAACAACAUAAGCUAUCUGUACCCUCUGUUGAACCUAAGUCCAAGCAACAUAUGUAAUUAGCUGGUUUAACUUUUGGGUCUUUUCAUGUGUGUAUCAUUAGGGGAUGAUUUUUGGGGGAUAAAAAUUAAGCUAGCUGUUCUUUUAGCUAAAAAUUAAAAUGAAACUGUUUUCCAAGAACAAGGGUCAAAAAGUAGUUCAAAAGGCUGGUUAUUUUGGGUACAAUACUUAUAUGAGUUGACAUAACUGAACUGGGAGAAUAUAAGUCCUACUCCUUCCAGUUUGUUUAGAAGGGAUUAUUUUUCAUGUAAAUAUUCAUAUACAAAUCUGUAAUAUGGUAAGGCUUCAUGUGGUAUAGCUCAUGAUCGCUCGUGGGAGUGUUAAGUCACAUUGCAUAGUCAUUUGAAUUGUUAUAGUUAGAGUUCCAUGAAUCGUUUAUUGUUCUUUGUAUUUUUUUUGUUUUCUGCUCUAUCCGCAAAAUAAACUUAGUGGAGCAAAUCUAGAGUUAUUUAUCCAAAAAAACAAUUAUCUGCACCUGUUAAUACUUGGUAUCUUUUAGAAGCCACCAUGGAAAAAAGGAUAUCUAAGAUCUUGUAUUAAAUACAUUCUCUUUUGUUUCAAUUUGUAAUUCGUUAACUGACACUCAGAAGAAAGAAUUGUGGAAGACUUUAUAAUGCUUGAUCAUGCCAGCACACUUUGUACACUAUUUAUUGCAUUAUAUUUUUAAUUAAUAUUAGGCAUGCUUUCUGUAGAACAAUGUAAGGUUACCUCCUGUUUUCUUAUGAAUUCCAAUUUAUUAUCCUUCAUUAUACAUCUUCAUGUGUUGUGUGGUUAGAUACGGAAGAGAAAAAGCAGAAGAAACAAAUCCAAGAAGUUAUCCAGUUCUGAGGAUGACUCGUCAUCUUCUGCUUCCUCUGAUUAUUCUAGCAGUCCACAGUCUUUGUCCUCCGAUUCAGAGGUUGAUUAUAGUAUGAAAAAACGUAGGCACUCACGUGAUAUAAAACACGUGAAGAAAAGAACUUGGAGAAAAUCUUCAAGCCGAGAUGUCAGUGAGGGUUCACCCCCUGUAAAGAAAAGAAAACGGUCAAAUAGAAAGAGUCUUGAUUAUGGGAGAAAAGUGCAGAAGAAGAAGCGAAAGAGACACACUAGUAUUAGCUCCACGAACAGUGACUCAAGAUGUUGUUCUAGGAAAAUAGUAUUAGCUCCAAAGGUAGAGAUUUUAAGAGCUUUUCCACUUGCCAAGAUACAACUAAUAGUGGUAAAUAGGAAGCGAUAACGAAAUUGAGUUUGAUUAAAAGACAUUUGCAUAUACUACUUAAGGUUCCAAAUAUUUAUAGUUUUAACAAAUUAAUCUUGUCUUAAAAUACCUGACGUCUGAAGAAUUUGUUUUAUUAUAUCUAAAUUUUAAAUUUUCUAAUUUAAUUAGUAAAGUAUUAUUACUGAUUAAAGAGAAAUAAUAAAAAGUAAUAUAAACAAGUAUACUUAUGAUUAAAAAUAUUAUUAUAAAUACUUUUGCAAAGCGAUGUCUAAAUAAAAUAGGCAUAAUAUAUAAAUAUAUCUUUUAAUUUGUCUUCCAUACUAAGACGAAUGUAUCUAUUUGUUUAAUUUAUAUAAGUUUUAGAGUCGAUUUAUACAUAUUUAAAAUUGAAGGGCAUAAAUAUUUGCUUAAGCUAAAUUAAAAACACAUUUAUGUAUUAUAUAUAUAUAUAUAUAUAUAUUAUUAUUAUUAUCAUAUAUUACUAUAAGCAUGAACAAAAAAAGUUGAGAAAAAAUUUAAAAAAGUCUAUACCUAAAUUGCUAAACUUUUCCUCUUCUCAUAAUUUUUUCCUUUGAUAUAAUUUAUGUGGAUAAAGUAUUAUCCUUUAUUAUAAAUAACGAAAUUUAAUAAUUUGAAGGGUGAAAAUCUGCAAAAUGGAGACACACACAUUGAUAAUGUCCUCUUGAUUAUAUUAAAGAAUGACUCUAGCUUCACAAAUUUAAAUUCAUUGAUGCUUAAUUACGUGAUAGGAACUUUAGUUAUUUUUUUUACAUAGUUUGCUAACUUUCUUUUUCCUAUUCUUCAUUUAUUUACUAUUAUUUUCUAAUUACUUAUUCAACUUUUAUACUCUUAAUAUUCAUAACUCUCAUCUUUUCAUAUUCAUAACCUCUAAAUAUUUAAACUAACACUUUAAGAUAUCUUUUGAUAUUCCUUCUAUUCUAUCUAUAUAAAUUCAACUUCUUUAUCUCAUGAAAUCCCUACCAAGUUUAUUAGACUAUUAUUAUUUUUAUUCUAUAGUUAAAGUAGAUGAAGAAAACUCUUGAAUUGUGAUAGGAUAUGGAAGGAAUCGAUAAGAACUCAGAGAGUUAAGUACUAAUUUUGUACUUAUUUUUUCAUCUAUAUAUGUAUCAGUCUUAUAAGAAUAAUGUCUACCUUGUAUUUUUUCUUAAAUCUGUUUCUUUUUGUCUUUUUUUUUUUCUCUAUUAGACUUCUUAAUUUAGUUUUCUAUGAAUGUUUUAUUGUCGUAAGUCUUUAUACUUAUUUUGUAAUUGUUGCAUUUUAUUGUUCAUUACAAUUUACAUAUAUAUAUUUUCAUGAAAUUUUAGUCAUUCUAACGUAUCUAUAAAAAUUCACAUGAAACACACGUGCUCAGCACGUGCUCAGAAACUAGUUAGUUAUAAAAAAGUUAAGACCGUUAAAAAUCUACACCACAACAACAUAAAUAUUUUUUUUUAGAGACAAUCUGAGGUCAAAUGUUCACCACUUUUCGUCAUUGUUACUUUGUUACUCUAACAAAAUUUAUAGAAGGAGACAACUAAAUUUGAAACAACAGCAAAAUAAUAUUGUUGACCCUUUUAGAAAUUCAUUCUUCAUUAAACUGCUGCUCUAAUUUUCUAGCAACCAUACAACUUCAGCUAUUUAAACCGUAUAUUAUUUUCUGUUUUCAAAGCAUUUAGUUAUUUUCCGUAUUAAAUUAAAUAUUUUCUGUUUUCAAAGCAUUUAGUUAGUUUCCCGUAUUAAAUUAAAUAUUUUCACUUUUCUAAUCAUUUAAUAGACUCUUUUGUUUUGGAAUAUGAAUAGUUAUUUUCAUUUUCUAUAUAUGUAUUGUAAAUUAAUUAUCAUUUUUUACUUCUAAUCUUUUUUAUAGUUUUCUCUUGUAUUUGCUUAGCCUUUGUGUUUGCUAAUUACUAAUUUUUAUUUAUUUUUCUUUGUUUCAGAUAUUAUCUUGCAAUUGUGAACUCUUCCCUUCUUCAUCGCAUCAUCAGCUACAUAAUAGAUAUGAUAGUCAUAUCAUUGGAGUUAUGCCUAGUCAUGAAGAAGGUAAACAUACAUUAGACCAUUUCACUAGAAAUCUUUGUAGUUUGUUAAGAUGUGUCUCAUAAGGAAAUAUAGAGAACUUGUAUUGUUUGAGAUCCAUAAAUUAGUAGUAAAUACUAGAAUGAAAUGAGUCCAAAUAGAGUGAAAUAAAUAGUGAGAAUGCAUAUGCCGACUCUAAGAAGCAUGUAAUUGAGGUAUGGUUGUAAUGGGAUUAAAACGAGUAAUAGAAGUAGAUGGAUCGUUGUAGCCGAUAAGUAACUGCUAACAAACUGAUAUACAAACAUUAUGAGUUUUGUCAUCUAUACUAUACUGUUACAUGCUAUAGGGUUUUGACCAAAUGAUAGCAGAAGCUUUCACUAGAAAACAAAGUAAAGCUUAAUGUUGACCAAACAACAUCAUCUGAACUUACGUGCUUGGGUCCAGUAAUCUCGAAUUGGGCUUUGGGCUGUCAUCACAUAUAUACAUAGCAUAUGCAUAAUCAUAAACAAGGAUUGUGCCAUUGUCUUUAGAAAAUUGCACCACUUUAGUCACCCUGAUGCUGUCAAAUCAGUUGGAUUAUUUCAACCAUUUGUAUUAAGUUCUAGCUUGUUUGUGAAUAUGGAUUGAUUAUGUUAUUUCGUAAUACUAUUAUAUUAAACAUUUUAGUUAAUAUUCUCAUAUAAAAUUUACACAUGAAGGAUUCAUAAUCUUGAAUCAAACAAAGAAAGUUGUACAUGCAAUAAUCUAUUACAAAUAAAUAUGAUUUUUUUUCAAGUGUACCCCGUGAAAUUGACAACGAUACAUUAUCCAUCUUAAAGAAGACAUAAGUUAAUCAAUAUUUCUACACUAUGAAAUACAAUUAUUAUUCGGAAACAACGUCUUGAUACGUAUGUGGAUAUAAGGAGGAGACUAUAGUUUGUUAAAAAUAAGACACAAACUUUAAGAUAUGAAACAUUUACAAACAUAAUCAAUGUUACUUAUGUUUUACCUAUAAAUUAUAUGUUAUUGAAAUAUUAAAAAAAUAAGGAAAGUGCCACACUGAGUAUAAGAUAUAUGAGAACUACAUAAGAAAAAUGUUACACCAAUUCAAUUGACUGUUUAUAGCUACAAACAAUUACCCUUUCCUAAAUUUAGUCACUUAUUACUUACAUGUUUUAGCAUCAUCUAUAUCAUUUUUAAAAAUUGUACUAAUUAACAUGGGACACACGUGCAACGCACGUGUCCAGAAACUAGUGCAAUAAAAUAUUGAUAGCUCGUUUUUAUACAUUUAAACAGCACUAAAAGAUAGGAUUAGGUGGCUUUGAAGUUAGCAAAACAAAUCUGCACCACAUGUAAUAAUAAGUCGUUUUCUACUUUGUUGUUUCUGGAAUUUGACACUUCACUUCUGUGGGCUAAAUUCUAAAAUCUUAAGACCCCUCAAUAAACCUUGUCUUUUCAUCUUUUCUUUAAAAAGGGUUUCAGUUUUGGGAAAUUGGGGCUGAGCUGCAGUUUGUGUGAAGUGAAAAAUGGGGAGAGUAUUUUUGGUGGAUCUUGAAGGCAAACCUACAAUUGCAAAUUCUGCAAAACCCAACUUGCCCGUGUUGAUCAACUUAUUUCCAAGGUACGAUUUUUUAUUUUUUAUUUUUAUUUUUUGGUUGAAUGACUAGAUCUAGCUAUGUAAAAUCCUGAUCUUUCAUUUGACAUGGUUAUAUAUCACUUCUCGGUACAAGUAAAAAUCUCACCUUUUUUAUAGGUUGUAAAUAAGUAAUUUUUGUGUUGUUUAGUGCAAAUGUAAUGCUUUUCUUGUUAAUUCAGAAGUUUCAAAUUUUACGAAUUCAUCAAUCCUCAUCAUGAAUUUGAAUUGACCAUUAGGAAAAUGGUUUAUUGAGUUAGGGAUGGAAGAGUGUGCAGAUUUUAUUCGUCUCUAAAAAAAUGUUGUUGAUAAGAUCCAGAAAUGGGUGACUACUUCAUGAGAGAUAGCAGUGACGUGUGAAGACGUUUGGAAGCUCUCAAGCAUGUUGGAUCAUGUCGAUUUUAUGUAUAUUCAUAGAUGUUUGAACAAAAUAGUUCAUAGUUUAGCUAGAUUUUCUAUUUCUUUGUUGAAGGAGAUCUCUUGGGAGAGGUUUUUCCAGAGUUGGAUCAUGCAUGAUGCUAAGGGUACAUUUGAAUUUCGUAGCUGUUGAUGCAAUAAUACAAAGUGUUUAGUUUCGGUGAAAAAGUUCAUGAAUUUGACAAGUUUAAUGUUGGUUGCCAAGCAUAGAUUAACCCUCCUCCUUUGUUUAAGUGUGGGACUUAUUAAACACGUCGUUUUAAAUAAGAACUCAAUUGUAGAUUCUUCUUCAUUGCGUGUGCUAAAAGCAAAGUUGCAUUUGGGAUUUGGAGGUUUGGGGUGCAACAUUGCUUUGAACAUAGACAUCUUGCUAUUUAAACAGGGAAGGCUGUCUUCUCUUUUAGAGGAAAGAAAAGAUUUUGGGGAUAGAAAGAAGGCAACAAAAAUAAUUAAAAAAAUCAAACAAGGUUAAAUUCAACAAUAAAGUCUAAAAGAAUCACUACUAAGAAAAAGGAGGAGAAUAGGUGAAAUGCCUAGCUCCUUAAUUGCCCAGUGAAGCAAACAAAAUAGUUAAAGUACUGUAGAGGGCUGGAAUCGAACUCACGCAACCUAGAAGGAAUUUCCGGAGUUUUGCCAGUGGCGUCAUGUAUUAUUUUAUUCAAUGAGUGGCACGUUAACUAUUUAUUGUAAAUUUUCUUUCUAUAUAUAUAUAUAUAUAUAUAUACUUAUAUGUACCAAGUUUCGGGUGAGGCUUUUUGGUGACGUGGCACCCCCUCGGCAUGGGCGGAUCUACAUGGAUCCAAGGGGGUUCAUCCGAACCCCCUUCGUUGGAAAAAUUACACGGUAUAUAUAGGAUCAAUUUUUUGAUUUAUAUGUAUAUACCAAGUGAUGAACCCCCUAAAUAUAAGCUAAGGUCAUGGCUCAGUGGUGAAGGGGGUUCAAGAAUUCACAAUAUAAGUGUUGGGUCGCGGGUUCGACUCCCUGUAACAACGUUUUUCCCCAUAUUUUUGAGAUUUAUACUAUUUUAUUAGAUAUUAAAAAAUAAAUUUAUUUUCCAUUUUUAUAAAAUUAAGUAAAACUUAUAACGUUGUUUUCAUAAUUAAAAUUAAAAAUACAUUCUCCCAUUCUCAUUUUAAGUCAAACGUUUAAUUUAUAUUUGAUUAAGGAAUAAAAUAAUUAUAAGUAAGAUUAAACAAAUAAGAGUAAUCAUUUAAAAUUUAUAAAUAAAUACAAUUGUCGCGAACGCGAAUUUUAUUGCUACAAUAUGAUUGGAUUUAGAAGUAUUCCUUAGUUCGAACUCACGCAACCUAGAAGGAAUGUCCGGAGUUUUGCCAGUGGCAUCAUGUAUUAUUUUAUUCAAUGAGUGGCACUUUGGCACCCCCUCGGCCCUUAGUAGAUCCUCCCCUGGUUAAAAGCAACUCCUUUUUUCACUCGUAAGUAAAAUAUAUGCAUAAGAAUUGUCUAGCACCAAUAGGUGAUGUAAGUUGGAAUUCUCGAAGCAAGUAAAUUAAUUGGAACUCAAGAAGUUUCUUUUAUCUCAUUGUGUAUGAACUGUCAGUUUACUUUCUUUGUCGUGGUAUAUUGCAUGAGAAAAUUGUGUUUCGUCUUUGCUGCAUAAAUUGCAUUUCAUUUUGCAAUGGUUAACUAUGUCUGACAAAAUCUCCUUUAUGCUAUUUAUUCAGGCUUUUCAUUGCAGCAGUGGAAGAGCAUACCUGUUCAAUAAAGUGUGAGUGGCCUCUAACGUCAUAUUGAUAGUAUACAUUGCUAUUUCAUGAAUCUGGAUUUUUGUUUUACAAGUGAUUUAAUUUGUUGAUAAACCUGCAUCCAUUCGUGAGUGACAACUGGUGCUUUCUUUUUGGGGGUUGUACGAUACUGUAUCUGUUGUCGGGAGAAAGUGCUGUUUAAUAUGUUUGGCACAUCAUUCGGAUGCAGUUGAUAGGUGUUUCUCCUAAUUGGUUAAGUGUUACAUCACCAUUAACAACCCGUUGCGUCUAUUUUCAGUGAGUUAUAGGCAAUACGGUCAUUUUUAUUCAACAGAAUGCCAUUUGUGACCAAGUAUUUGUGGAAUGAAUGAUAUUGCCUGUCCGGACAUUUUUUUUUUGAAAUGGUAGAGGUUUUAUUAAUAAUAGUACCAAGAUGGUACAAAAAGUACAAGCCACCAAAAAGACAAGUAGCAACCCUUCUUUGUUCUUAUUAUUAUUCCUUUAAAUUUCG